This 627-nucleotide long non-coding RNA is filed under the name Ananas comosus (pineapple). Its description in RNAcentral is "long non-coding RNA (ACOM_LNC022787)". Lineage: Eukaryota; Viridiplantae; Streptophyta; Magnoliopsida; Poales; Bromeliaceae. The record is from RNAcentral.
CUCUUGUACUUUCGAAAGUACGGAGACCUCGUACUUGUAAGUUGUUUUCGAUGAUAGAAAUCCGAUUCGACGAUCGGUUCCGUUAAGUAUAAUAUACCUUAUUGGAACUAUUUAGAAACCAAAUUUUAUAAUUUUUUGACAUCAUUUACCAAGCGAUCAAAAGAUCUCAAAAAUGACUAUUUUAACGGCCGAUGUUGCACGUUUUUAAAUUCAACGAUAUAGAAGUAUCCAAAUUAGAUAAAAAUUUAAUGGAAAAUUCUACUUAACAUCAAUGGCAAGACCAAUACUUCCGAUUUGAAAUUUGAGUUCUUUAUCACUAUUUUUUAUAAAACUUUUAUUUUCAGCCGUUCAUUUUGAGGCUAUUUGUUUACUAGACAAACGAAGUCAAAAAAUUAUGAAAUUUGAUUUUUAGGUAGUUCUAAUAACGUAGAUCAUGCCUAAUGGAACCGAUCGCCGAAUCAGAUAUCUCAUUAUUGAAAACAACUUAAAAGUAUGGAGAUUUUCGUACUUUCGAAAGUAUAGAAGCCUAGCUCUAUAUAUAUAUAUAUAUAUAUAUAUAUAUAUAAAAUAAACUGUGGUUGAGGAGACAUGUGUGUGUAUAUAUAUUGGGCUAGGUUUUUUUAAUGU